CAGUAGCCGCGGUAAUACGAAGGGUGCAAGCGUUGAUCGGAAUUACUGGGCGUAAAGCGUGCGUAGGCGGUUUGUUAAGUCUGUUGUGAAAUCCCCGGGCUCAACCUGGGAAUGGCAAUGGAUACUGGCAAGCUAGAGUGUGUCAGAGGAUGGUGGAAUUCCCGGUGUAGCGGUGAAAUGCGUAGAGAUCGGGAGGAACAUCAGUGGCGAAGGCGGCCAUCUGGGACAACACUGACGCUGAGGCACGAAAGCGUGGGGAGCAAACAGGAUUAGAUACCCCAGUAGUCCCUGUCUCUUAUAC
Molecule: ribosomal RNA, 301 nt
Filed under: uncultured bacterium
Lineage: Bacteria
Description: partial 16S ribosomal RNA
Rfam family: Bacterial small subunit ribosomal RNA
Source: RNAcentral